AGUGAACGCUGGCGGUAGGCCUAACACAUGCGAGUCGAACGGCAGCACAGUAAGAGCUUGCUCUUACGGGUGGCGAGUGGCGGACGGGUGAGGAAUACAUCGGAAUCUACUUUUUCGUGGGGGAUAACGUAGGGAAACUUACGCUAAUACCGCAUACGACCUACGGGUGAAAGCAGGGGAUCUUCGGACCUUGCGCGAUUGUAUGAGCCGAUGUCGGAUUAGCUAGUUGGCGGGGUAAAGGCCCACCAAGGCGACGAUCCGUAGCUGGUCUGAGAGGAUGAUCAGCCACACUGGAACUGAGACACGGUCCAGACUCCUACGGGAGGCAGCAGUGGGGAAUAUUGGACAAUGGGCGCAAGCCUGAUCCAGCCAUACCGCGUGGGUGAAGAAGGCCUUCGGGUUGUAAAGCCCUUUUGUUGGGAAAGAAAAGCAGCAGGUUAAUACCCCGCUGUUCUGACGGUACCCAAAGAAUAAGCACCGGCUAACUUCGUG
Molecule: ribosomal RNA, 492 nt
Filed under: uncultured bacterium
Lineage: Bacteria
Description: partial 16S ribosomal RNA
Rfam family: Bacterial small subunit ribosomal RNA
Source: RNAcentral